Molecule: small RNA, 295 nt
Filed under: Pseudideonella sakaiensis
Lineage: Bacteria; Pseudomonadati; Pseudomonadota; Betaproteobacteria; Burkholderiales; Sphaerotilaceae
Description: Ideonella sakaiensis 5' ureB small RNA
Rfam family: 5' ureB small RNA
Source: Rfam by way of RNAcentral
UCCUCGAUCUGCUGCGGGCAGAUGAAGUGGAUGUGGCUGUCGAUGCCGCCGGCGGUGACGAUCAUGCCCUCGGCGGCGAUCACCUCGGUGCCGGGGCCGAUCACGAUGUCCACGCCGGGUUGCACGUCGGGGUUGCCGGCCUUGCCGAUCUUCGCGAUGCGCGAGCCGCGCAGGCCGAUGUCGGCCUUCACGAUGCCCCAGUGGUCGACGAUCAGCGCAUUGGUGAUCACGCAGUCGACGGCGUCGCCGUCGCCGGGGCCGUUCAUGCGCUGGCCCUGACCCAUGCCGUCGCGGA